This is a long non-coding RNA of Marmota flaviventris (yellow-bellied marmot), 831 nucleotides long. RefSeq lists it as uncharacterized. The record is from RefSeq and is a predicted model, not a curated record. Lineage: Eukaryota; Metazoa; Chordata; Mammalia; Rodentia; Sciuridae.
AGAGACAAGGAGACUGAAGCAAUGUAGGAGCCCAGAAUAGGUCCCGUACCAGAGGAAAGACAGCAAAGGACACCGUGGGGUGAAUGAGAAAAGUGGGACACGCCCAGCAGAUUAGAUGGAGACACUGUGUCACGCGACGUCACUGAACCUGACACUGCACCGUGGCUAUGUUGGGGAAUAUCUGUGGUCGUAUGAAAUGCGUACUGAAAUAAUCAGAAGGCAAAUAUUUGCAGGUAAAUGAGGUAUUCAGAGGCCACAGGAUUAAUCCAGGAACUUAUCAUGAGGUUUUAUUACCUUACAAGAACCGCUGUGCAUGGUUUACUGCUCUCAGAAGGCUUUGGAUCUAAGGGUGUCAGGGAGAUCUGCCCGGGUGCCUGUCCUUGGCAACGUCCUUCAGAGGCUCGGUGCAGAGGACACGGGUUCCCAGGGCUUGUAAAACCAGCCGGCAGCACGCCCUCCACAAGUGCUAUUUCCGCCAUUCCAUUCAAAACCACAGUGACCGCGGAAGCUAGCGCCUGCUCCUCGCCCCACACAGCCCUGGGAGAACCAUAGUGCAUCCUGCCAGAGAACACAGCCACCUGCCGUGGGCUGAAGGUCCCCACAUCCACACUCCUUUGGGAAGUAAUUAGGGAUAGAGGGGUCGUGACAGUGGGAUCAGUGUCCCUGUAAGCAGAGGAAGGGAACCCAGAGUGUGAUCUCUCUUGGCUAUAUGAGGACAGAGAGAGAUGCCACUGCCACUGAGCCAGGAAGGGGCCUCUCCAUGAAGACUGCUACCUUGGUCUUGGGCUCCCUGAGUCCAGGACAGUGAGAAAUAAAUUGAGCUGUGGUGUC